This 405-nucleotide ribosomal RNA is filed under the name uncultured rumen protozoa. Its description in RNAcentral is "SSU rRNA". It matches the Rfam family "Eukaryotic small subunit ribosomal RNA", at positions 320 to 797 of the family's 1831-position model. The record is from RNAcentral.
UUUCGAUGGUAGUGUAUUGGACUACCAUGGCUCUCACGGGUAACAGGGAAUUAGGGUUCGAUUCUGGAGAAGGAGCCUGAGAAACGGCUACUACAUCUACGGAAGGCAGCAGGCGCGUAAAUUACCCAAUCCUGAAUCAGGGAGGUGGUGACAAGAUAUAACAACGAGACCUUAAAUCUCGAUUGUAGUGAGGGUUUUCUAAAUAGAACCUAUAGUACGAUUAGAGGGCAAGUCUGGUGCCAGCAGCCGCGGUAAUUCCAGCUCUAAUAGCGUAUAUUAAAGUUGCUGCAGUUAAAAAGCUCGUAGUUGGAUUUCAAGGUUUGUAUUCUCUACCGGGAAUACACCCUACUAGUCAUUGACUGUUACUGUGAGAAAAUUAGAGUGUUUCAAGCAGGCUUUUGCAAG